This 539-nucleotide unclassified non-coding RNA is filed under the name Hevea brasiliensis (rubber tree). Lineage: Eukaryota; Viridiplantae; Streptophyta; Magnoliopsida; Malpighiales; Euphorbiaceae. The record is from RNAcentral.
ACAAUAGUACGGGCUUGGAUCUCACGCAGUUCCUCCCAACCCUGGUCGCGAAUCCAGCGACGGAUCUUGGGAUCAAGGCGAUCAUAAACGCCUUCAAGAUCCGAUGCGGAGGUUGCUGAGCUCAUCACCGCUGCCGUUCUGCCCACUGCUUGGUUCNNCGAGAUCUGGAGCAUCUUCGGCUAUCUGAACCGCGCCGAGCAACUCCCGCCAAUUAGAGCCCGGGUUCUGCUCCAAAACCGAAAGCAGUUGCACAAAGGCCUUGACCGUCGUGCGCGGUGUUCGAAAGUAGGCUUCGCCGAUCCGUUUGUUGCAAUGAUCCAUGAACGCCGUCAGAGCUUCGUCAGGAACUAGAUUCUUGGACGGGUCGCCGGACGCGAAGACCGACCGGAUAUUGGAAAGUAGAACAAUCAAAUCCUCUGGAGUGAGGCUCUUCAGCUUCAUGACCGGGCCGGAAAGAUCGAUAAGGCCUGCGGUCGCAAACUGGUUCUCCGCUAAUCGCGACUGGAGCGCUUCGUAGCUGUAUAGACCACGCCUGGUAU